Long non-coding RNA from Numida meleagris (helmeted guineafowl), 3140 nucleotides. RefSeq lists it as uncharacterized. Lineage: Eukaryota; Metazoa; Chordata; Aves; Galliformes; Numididae. The transcript has 4 exons. The record is from RefSeq and is a predicted model, not a curated record.
ACUUCAUUUAAGUGUUGGCAGUGGAGGCAAGGGGAUCUUCCUGGAGAUCCUUGCUCACCUGAGGCCUUCUGAAGGAUGCAUAGCAUAAUCAACGCUCAAGGGAAAGCCAAGAGAACAGCUGGAGCCUUGCUCAGAGUGGGAGAGCUCGAUUCUGUGAAAGGUACACAACACACACUCUACAAUUCCAAAGGCCCGGAGAUUAGGAUGCCAAGAUUCACCGUGGGAGUAUGUUUUGCCAUUUGAAACACAAACUACAAAAGAAGAGAAAAAGAAGAAAAAAUACAACUGGAAAAGGUUGGCCUUGAUUCCAAAUCCCAUGAUGCCAGUGUCCAUCACUGUUUUGAGGACAAUGGAGAAGGUGGCUGAGUCGAGUAUUUGAGCACCUCGCUCCAGCACGUGCAUUUCAGUUGUGCAUCAUUAACCAGCUUAUAAAACUAACAACUCCUUCAGUACACAUGCAGGACAUAGCCUGCUAAAUUGGCUCUGGCUUCUGGUAUUGAAUUUGCAGUGGACAAAAUCAUGACAUUUGCUACAAGUUAUCUGCUCAACUAUUUCUGGCAUUAGCUGAAAGUGGCUUUUGCAGGGAGAGCCAUAUUAUCAACAGGAUGGAUUAGUGCCACCUGGACCUUUAAUACUGCACUUACAUGGGACUUCUGCUACACAACACAGAGCAAAAGCAAUGGAAUAUUACAGAAAGAAGUCUGAUGUCGUUUGUAGAGAUAUGAAUGUUAUAGGUAUAUAGGGACAUUUGGCCUUUGGAAUCACAAGAAAAUGUUAACUUGAAAGGAUGUCUGUGUGGCUGAAAUUUCAUUCCAAGAGCAUCUAAGCAUCUCAGAGUAUUUUUUUCAUCAGUGCCCCUGAGAGACAGAGAAAUACAGCUGGCAAAAGGAGAGUGGAAAAAUUCCUACCUUGUAGAAGCCAGUUUGGGUCACCCUGCAUUUAAUGGGGAUUAUAUCACUUUACACCAUGUUUGCAUUUGUCCUAUAAACCUUACUUCUUUCUUUUUAAAUAUUUUAUAAACACAAAGAAAAAUGCAAACUAAUCCUAACAAGGUGAAAGAAAGGGCAUCACCUGAAUUCUAAAUGCAACUAAAGUGAAGCUGGGGUAUGUUGCAAAUAUUUCCAAUUCUUCUAAUAUGCCAUCAUUUUUAUUAAUGUUUUCAUUUGUAAAAUAUGUUCCUAUUUUGCCUGUAACUUUCAAAAGCAAUUUAAUUUUUAUCUGUAAUCUGAAAUUUACAUCUAACUGGUAACAGAUGUGAUCAACUGGCUUAUACUUUACUGAGUUACUGAGGUUUAUGGUGAGUGUUCUUUGUAAUGUAUUGUCUUUCCUGGGGUUAUGUUAUCAUUUCGUUUAUAAUUUGCUACUUUUUAACUCCUUGAGACAUGGCUUUAUUUUAGAGGUGGAAAACAGUUUUGUUUCUCACAUGAAAGCAAAUAAUGUGUUUUCUGUAUACUGAAAACAUGAGCAAAAAAGGAUCUGUUUAGCACAGAGCAGUUUGGGGUAGCAGAUGAAGCCUCCAGUAGAAGCCAAAAUAUGGCAUAUAACUUCUAGCUCCCAGAUGCCCUGUUUUUAUAGUGUUCUUCACACUCAGAAUUAUAAAUCUGUAUCCAUACAACUACAUGAUAUUUGCAUGUCAGGAGAAUUGCUGUGUGUUUACUUUUUAGUUUGUUGUGUCUCAAGGGGCAUAUGCAUUAAUUAAUACAUUACUUGUUAAUUGGGGAAGAACAAUAGAAAGUACAUGGUCAGCAUUCUGGUUUCCACCAAGGGGAUCACUCAGACACUCUCCGGGCAGUGAAUAUCUGAAGUAGUGGCAGUUACAAUACUGCGCUCAGAAAUAUGCUAUUCAUCUGUAUGCUUUUUAUUUACUGAAACAAAUCAGUUAGAAAUUGCUUUGAUGAUGUCUUUAUGUGUGAAUUACACGUCAAAGAUACUGCACUGUGUGGAGAUUUCUGCUCCUAGAAUCAGCAUAAAACGCUGGCAUGAUCUGAAUGCUUUUUCAUGGUUGUUCAGGUGGAUAAUAAAGAUCCCAUGGCCAACAUUCCUUCUGUUAGUUAAUACCUUGAAAGAUUAGUUGGCCCUAAUACAUGGGCUUUUAACUCUUUGUGGGUAGUUUCUGAGUGCCUACUGACUGGCGUUUGUGGACAACUGCUUUUCUGAACAUUCACUUUCACAGCUAUUUAUUUUAUGGCUUCUUAGACCUGUUCCUGCAGACAUCAGCUGGCUUAUGUACACCCACUGGAGGAACUGAGCAUCCUGCCCUUUUGCUUGUACAGUACCCGCUGUCCCAUGAACUGGGCAACAGAUAUUUUCCCUCUGUUUUUGUCUGUCCUAUAAUGCAGUAGGAAUGCUGCAGUCAUGUUUGUAUAAGGUCUGCAAUAGGGGCUCGAAGCUGCUGCCCACAUCAUGUAAUAACUUGUAUUAUCAGAAGGCACUAAGGGAUUCAUUGCUUUGGUUAACUUUGCCUGGUCACAGCGCAGACAUCCAGUCUAGGCUAAUUAUCUGCUCUGCUUCUACUGUUAGACAUGGAGAAGGAAAAGGACCCCCCGCAUCUCAGACAACCAGCUGAAGGUGGGGGAAGUCAUGAUAUGUUCUUUCUUUGGAAUAAUUUGCUAAGCCUCCGAGGCAGAAAACUUCUAAUUCUACAGCAAAGUUUUAUGGCCUGGGGCCUGGGGCUUGUGGGACAGUUUAAAUAUAUGCAGUUUGCAGCUAGUAAAGUUACAAAAUAGGAGACGGUGUAAAGAACAUAACCGCAGUCUGUUUCCUACUGGACAAGUCACUAUGUGAACCAGUUAGCAAAUCUAAGGGCAUCGUAGUGUCCUUUGAGGCACUUAGUGCUCACUUUGCUGGUCACAGCAGCAUGUUUUCUGAAUUAUGGAGUGCAAUACCACAGAGUAAUUCAGAGAGCAACACGAUAAUGUUGUGCCCACGCAGACUGAAAUGCACUGUUGUAUUGGCAGGCACAACUGACCUCAGUUAAGAGCUUAUUUCAUAUCCUUACUAGUCUGUUGCUUUCACCCUCUGAUUUGCAUUGGGUCUCUUGAUACCAGUGUGAAUUUCCAAGAUUCUGCUGUAUAUUUUGAGAAGACUUUUUUGUAGGUGUUAAAUGGCUGACCCAGAGUAAUACCAUACGAAAUACUUGU